AUACGGAGGAUGCAAGCGUUAUCCGGAUUUAUUGGGUUUAAAGGGUGCGUAGGCGGAUGAUUAAGCGUGAGGUGAAAUGCCACUGCUCAACAGUGGAACUGCCUCGCGAACUGGUUGUCUUGAAUGCUCCUGCCGUGGGAGGAAUGUGUGGUGUAGCGGUGAAAUGCAUAGAGAUCACACAGAACACCGAUUGCGAAGGCAUCUCACGAAGGGGUGAUUGACGCUGAGGCACGAAAGCGUGGGGAUCAAACAGGAUUAGAUACCCUGGUAGUCCACGUAGUAAACGAUGAUAACUAACCGCUGGGUCGUAGUGAUUCAGUGGCCAAGCGAAAGCGAUAAGUUAUCCACCUGGGGAGUACGACCGCAAGGUUGAAACUCAAAGGAAUUGACGUGG
This 394-nucleotide ribosomal RNA is filed under the name uncultured bacterium. RNAcentral describes it as "partial 16S ribosomal RNA". It matches the Rfam family "Bacterial small subunit ribosomal RNA", at positions 523 to 918 of the family's 1533-position model. The record is from RNAcentral.